RNAcentral lists this ribosomal RNA (508 nucleotides) under uncultured bacterium. Its description in RNAcentral is "partial 16S ribosomal RNA". It matches the Rfam family "Bacterial small subunit ribosomal RNA", at positions 28 to 523 of the family's 1533-position model. The record is from RNAcentral.
GAUGAACGCUAGCUACAGGCUUAACACAUGCAAGUCGAGGGGAAACGACAUCGAAAGCUUGCUUUUGAUGGGCGUCGACCGGCGCACGGGUGAGUAACGCGUAUCCAACCUGCCCACCACUUGGGGAUAACUUUGCGAAAGUAAGACUAAUACCCAAUGACGUCUCUAGAAGACAUCUGAAAGAGAUUAAAGAUUUAUCGGUGAUGGAUGGGGAUGCGUCUGAUUAGCUUGUUGGCGGGGUAACGGCCCACCAAGGCGACGAUCAGUAGGGGUUAUGAGAGGAAGGUCCCCCACAUUGGAACUGAGACACGGUCCAAACUCCUACGGGAGGCAGCAGUGAGGAAUAUUGGUCAAUGGACGAGAGUCUGAACCAGCCAAGUAGCGUGCAGGAUGACGGCCCUAUGGGUUGUAAACUGCUUUUAUAAGGGAAUAAAGUGAGAGUCGUGACUCUUUUCGCAUGUACCUUAUGAAUAAGGACCGGCUAAUUCCGUGCCAGCCGCCGCGGUAA